AGAGUGGGGAAUAACCAGCCGAAAGGUUGGCUAAUACCGCGUACGCUUCUUGGACUUCGGUUCAGGGAGGAAAGCGCUACCGAGGGUAGCGCGCUCUUGGAUGGGCUCAUGUCCUAUCAGCUUGUUGGUGAGGUAAUGGCUCACCAAGGCUUCGACGGGUAGCUGGUCUGAGAGGACGAUCAGCCACACUGGCACUGCGACACGGGCCAGACUCCUACGGGAGGCAGCAGUAAGGAAUAUUGCGCAAUGGGCGAAAGCCUGACGCAGCGACGCCGCGUGGGGGAUGAAGGUCUUCGGAUUGUAAACCCCUUUCGGGAGGGAAGAUGGAAUGGGGUAACUCAUUCGGACGGUACCUCCAGAAGCAGCCACGGCUAACUUCGUGCCAGCAGCCGCGGUAAUACGAAGGUGGCAAGCGUUAUUCGGAUUUACUGGGCGUACAGGGAGCGUAGGCGGUUUGGUAAGCCCUCUGUGAAAUCUCCAGGCUUAACCUGGAAAAGUCGGAGGGGACUGCUGGGCUAGAGGACGGGAGAGGAGCGCGGAAUUCCCGGUGUAGCGGUGAAAUGCGUAGAGAUCGGGAGGAAAGGCGGUGGCGAAGGCGGCGCUCUGGAACGUCUCUGACG
RNAcentral lists this ribosomal RNA (620 nucleotides) under uncultured bacterium. Its description in RNAcentral is "bacterial SSU rRNA". It matches the Rfam family "Bacterial small subunit ribosomal RNA", at positions 133 to 745 of the family's 1533-position model. The record is from RNAcentral.